Molecule: ribosomal RNA, 469 nt
Filed under: uncultured bacterium
Lineage: Bacteria
Description: bacterial SSU rRNA
Rfam family: Bacterial small subunit ribosomal RNA
Source: RNAcentral
UGGGGAAUUUUGGACAAUGGGGGCAACCCUGAUCCAGCCAUUCCGCGUGAGUGAAGAAGGCCUUCGGGUUGUAAAGCUCUUUCAGCAGGAACGAAACGGUCGGCUUUAAUAAAGUCGGCUAAUGACGGUACCUGCAGAAGAAGCACCGGCUAACUACGUGCCAGCAGCCGCGGUAAUACGUAGGGUGCGAGCGUUAAUCGGAAUUACUGGGCGUAAAGCGUGCGCAGGCGGCGACAUAAGACAGAUGUGAAAUCCCCGGGCUCAACCUGGGAACUGCGUUUGUGACUGUGUUGCUAGAGUGUAGCAGAGGGGGGUGGAAUUCCACGUGUAGCAGUGAAAUGCGUAGAGAUGUGGAGGAACACCGAUGGCGAAGGCAGCCCCCUGGGUUAACACUGACGCUCAUGCACGAAAGCGUGGGGAGCAAACAGGAUUAGAUACCCAAGUAGUCCCUGAGCGGGCUGGCAAGGCG